CCCGGUUGUAAAGCAAAGAUGCCUGGGGUGGGAUGCAGGCUGCCCGGGGAGGCAACCCUCGUUAGGGAGGGUCCAUCAACGCUCUCAGACCCAGGAAAGAGAAAGCCCUGGCCCUGACUCAGAAUUGGAUUCUAGCUGGAGGCGUCCUCUCCGUGGCUGGCUCCAGGGAAAGAUGGGGAAACUGAGGCCCGAGAGGUGCUGUCGGUGCCCCCAUGGGGAAGUUGGGUACCACGACUGGGAAACUGAGGCUCGAGGAUUUGGAGUUGGAAUGGAUGGCGCUGUCACUGAACGUGGGUCAGCCCGUCUCCAGAAGCCACACUGAAUGUUCCCUUCGACGCACAAACAACAAAAUCAAGAACAAAGGCCCACCUCGCUGCACACAGAGCCGCUCCUGGCUGACUUAGGCUCUCUCCGUGGAUGCAAGCAGGGGGACUACUGGGCACCUUUCAGCAUCACUCCCUUAAGUUGGGACCAAGAGGCAUUCUGAGACGAACCGCAGGGUCUUGGUCUAGAGACGUCUGGAAACUUCAGAGUGAGACAGUGAGGAAACUGAGUCUCAGAAGGGAGCCCUGGGGAGCAGACCCAGGGGGGUUCUGUGCCCCAGCCUCUUCAAGGACAGAAUCAUCCAACCACCAAGUCAUUCCCCAAGAGACACCAGGCAAGAACAGUGAGUGCGGUGGACACGGGAAGGAUGCUGGUGACAGAGCCACCUCCGCAAUGCAGUGCACACAUUGCCAUGGUCCUCAUGGGAGGUACCAUGGGCUCCAGCUGAAGGUCAGAGAGAAGGCCAUGGCCAAGGUCACUGUGCUGGAAAGCAUCACGGCUGGCUCUGGAGCCCUGGUUGGUCCAUCUGAUGGCAAAGACCUCCUUGCCCAGACCCCAGCUCAGCGUCCAGCGCCGAUCAGAGCCCCGUGCUCGGUGCUGCAGAGCGCUUGGCAUCCAGCAUAUGCUUAACACCCAGUUAGCCUCCCUCCUUGCCCUGGUCCUGCCAGGGUGUGACCUUGGCCGUGUCAUUCUCCGCUUCCAGGCCUCAGUUCCCUAUCUGUGCAGGGAGGGUGCUGCCCCGGGGGGUGUCCUAGCUCCCCUCGCAGCCUCAACAUCCUAGACUUCCACUGCCGAAGCCAGGAAGAGUUGGUGGGGUUCCCCGGGGCUGGGGCAAAUUUGGGGGCCAGGGCUCCUUUCUGGAGGGACCCAGCCGAGCCCCGCCGACAGCCCCCAGCACCCCCCAAAACAGCAGUCCCGGCCAAGCCUGGCUCCCCACCUCCAUCCCUUGUCCCCUUCCACCAGGCUUGGUCCUCCCCCCCACCCAUCACACCGACACCCUUGCCUCUGACCGGGGCUGCCCCCCACAAUGGCCGGUGCCCGAAGCGCCUUGAAAAAUCUCUCUCUGGCAUCCCUUCCCCAACACACAGCCCCAGCUGGCAGCGAGGUGAGCAGAGAGUGAGGGGGAGAGAGGAGAGAGCAGAGAGGGAGGGAAAUGCAAAUGUUUUUUAUCCUCCUUUUCUUUUAAACGCUGAAACCCGCCUCGACAGCCUCUGAAAAUAAACGGCACCGACUUGCUGGGAUUUCAAAUUCCGUGAUUAAGGGCUGAAGCAAAUACUUCUUCCCUCCCUCCCUCCUGCCUCCCCCGCCCUCCCUCCGUGGGCUGAUAGAGCGGCUCGCGGGGCCGAGGACAGCUUUUUGCGAGCCUGCCAGGAGCUCUGAUACGCAGCCUCCCGCCGCCGGCAGC
Lagenorhynchus albirostris (white-beaked dolphin) is the source of this 1729-nucleotide long non-coding RNA. RefSeq lists it as uncharacterized. The transcript has 6 exons. The record is from RefSeq and is a predicted model, not a curated record. NCBI's taxonomy places the organism in Eukaryota, Metazoa, Chordata, Mammalia, Artiodactyla, Delphinidae.